Aethalodelphis obliquidens (Pacific white-sided dolphin) is the source of this 1308-nucleotide long non-coding RNA. RefSeq lists it as uncharacterized. NCBI's taxonomy places the organism in Eukaryota, Metazoa, Chordata, Mammalia, Artiodactyla, Delphinidae. The transcript has 3 exons. The record is from RefSeq and is a predicted model, not a curated record.
CUCAGUAUGGUCUCAACUGGGUAAAACAUUAUAGAGAAAAAUAUGGGAAUGUACCUAUGAGGUUAAGAAUGUUUGUCUCUGUGUUGAAAGUAUGAGUGUUUCCUUUUUCUCUCCUAUUUUCUGUAUCUUCCAGGUUAUCUACAGCAAGCAUGUAUUAUUUUUAUAAUAGAAAAAUGCUAUGGACAGAUAUAUGUGUGUAUAUAUAUAUACAUACAUAGAUGUUGUGGUACUUAGUAUAUGCAAAUGUGAAGGAGCCCUCACCAUCUCAGUUAGAAACGCUAACGAGAAUGAGAAGGGCUCUCUGUGUCCCCACCUAGUCAUCCCCAUCCUGCAAAGUCCUGUGGUUCCUGCCAACCCAGGAGCUUCUCUCCCUCUCUGCAAUCACCUCCCUCACUGACCUGUCAGCACAGAGCUUCCUGGACCAGAGGACUAGACACUUUCUUUCACACAGGCAACUAACGCAAGCAGAGUUUCCCAGAAGCUGAAGCUGGGUGUGCCUGCCUUGUGGUGACACUGAAAAGGCUCUGGUCUAGGAGGCACUGCUGGUGCUACACAAGCCACCUGGCCAUGGGAUCUCAGACAUCAGGAGACAUCGGUGGCUGCGAAAGGGAGUCUCAGGAGCCCCAGCUCGCGUCCUUCUACCUGGGGCAGGAAGAUCGUGACAAAAAAGCAAAAGCACAGCACAUGUGGAGCAUUGAAAACCCUAGGCUCCCAGGACAACGAAGGAAACCAAGCGAGGAGAAAAGUUCAGGGUACAGGGUCUGUCCAGAUGUGGCACAGAAUCCCCUGAGUAUCCCCCUUUCGGGAAUCGAUUAUAAGAUAAUAAUCAAGCCCAUGGCCAAAGGUUUAGGUCCAAAGAUGGGCUUUUCAGUGCCAUUUAUAAAAGUGGAAAAUUAGAAGUACCGUCACUGAAUGUGUUACUUUGGACGAGACACCCAUCUCUCCGAGCCCCAGUUACAUCAACUACAAAAUGGGAAAAAUAAUAAUCCUCGCUUUAUGAAUUGACUGCAAAGAUUAAAUAAGGUAGCACAUGGAAUGUGCUUUGCAUGGUACUUGUCACAGAGUAAGGGUCACUAAAUAGCCAUUGGUAAAAUUACAUCCAAAAAUAAUAUAUCACUUGCACAACUGGUGGUAUGCCAAAAGAGCCUGAAAUCAUACAGCAAUUCAAAGCGGUUUUCUUUCCAAAAAGAUUUACUGAUAAGGGGGUCAAAGCUACGGUAUAAUGCAUAAUAAUAUUUACCUAUAUUUUUUUCAUAUAAAAAUGUGCAUAUUUAUAAUGGAGAAGUGGACUUUAUUUUUCUUUUUGGA